UACAGAGGGUGCUAGCGUUGUUCGGAAUCAUUGGGCGUAAAGGGCGUGUAGGCGGUUUGUUAAGUCAUGUGUGAAAUCCCUCGGCUCAACCGGGGAACGACGCAUGAAACUGGCAAGCUAGAGUACCAAAGAGGGGGGUGGAAUUCCCGGUGUAGCGGUGAAAUGCGCAGAUAUCGGGAGGAACACCAAUGGCGAAGGCAGCUCGCUGGGACGUUACUGACGCUGAGACGCGAAAGCGUGGGGAGCAAACAGG
RNAcentral lists this ribosomal RNA (253 nucleotides) under uncultured bacterium. RNAcentral describes it as "partial 16S ribosomal RNA". It matches the Rfam family "Bacterial small subunit ribosomal RNA", at positions 524 to 776 of the family's 1533-position model. The record is from RNAcentral.